AGAGAGAGACAUGCGCGCAUAUCAAUAAGCGGAGGAAAAGAAACUAACAAGGAUUCCCCUAGUAGCGGCGAGUGAAGCGGGAAGAGCUCAAAUUUGAAAUCUUAAAGGGUUUCCCUUUACGAAUUGUAGUUUAAAGAAGUGUUUUCUGUUGAGGUUUUGGUAAAAGUUCUUUGGAAUAGGACAUCAUAGAGGGUGAGAAUCCCGUAUUUGACCUUUACUUUCAACUUUGUGAUACACUUUCAAAGAGUCGGAUUGUUUGGGAAUGCAGUCCAAAAUGGGUGGUAAAUUUCAUCUAAAGCUAAAUAUUGGCGAGAGACCGAUAGCGAACAAGUACCGUGAGGGAAAGAUGAAAAGAACUUUGAAAAGAGAGUUAAACAGUACGUGAAAUUGUCAAAAGGGAAGCGUUUGACACCAGUGUUGUUUUUCUGAAAAUCAAUUAAAGAACUGUUUAUGCUAAGCUUGUUUAGACUUUAUCAGCUAACUGUUUAGUUUUGAGCUUUUCUUUAAUGCACUUUUCAGUUAACAAGUCAACAUCAAUUUCUUUUGCUGUAAAAAAGCUUGAGGAAGGUGGCUUGAGAUUCGUCUUAAGUGUUUAUAGCCUCUUGCCUAUGCAGUCGGAGAGAUUGAGGUCUGCAGCGUAGAUCCUUCGGGGCUAAAUGCAUUUGUGCUAAGUUAUAGCAUUUUAUAGACAACUUGUUGACUAUGAUUUGUCUUGUAGCUUACUCGCUUAUGUUAUUUUACCUACGCUUAGGAUGUUGACGCAUGAGAUAUACGC
This 775-nucleotide ribosomal RNA is filed under the name uncultured Neocallimastigales. Its description in RNAcentral is "partial large subunit ribosomal RNA". It matches the Rfam family "Eukaryotic large subunit ribosomal RNA", at positions 23 to 647 of the family's 3401-position model. The record is from RNAcentral. Lineage: Eukaryota; Fungi; Neocallimastigomycota; Neocallimastigomycetes; Neocallimastigales.